This 694-nucleotide unclassified non-coding RNA is filed under the name Hevea brasiliensis (rubber tree). Lineage: Eukaryota; Viridiplantae; Streptophyta; Magnoliopsida; Malpighiales; Euphorbiaceae. The record is from RNAcentral.
AUGUACACCAAAAUUCCAGCCGAUAGAGAGUCCAAAAUGCCUUCAGCAACCAAUGCCCCGGUGCUGUUGGGGUUGUAAGUGGAGGCAAUGGCAGCGCCUAUGGAGAUGCCGAGGGGUGUGGUGAUGGCGAAGAAGACAGCCAUGAGGGAGGUGGAGAGGGUGUUGAAUUGAGCCUGAGAAAUGCAGCCACCAAGGGCAAAGCCUUCAAAGAACUGAUGGAAGGAGAGAGCUGCAAUUAAGGGUCUAAUGGUGCAUGGGCUGUGGGACACUCCAAGAGAUAGCCCAAUUAUGACUGAAUGUGACACUAUUCCAAGCUCCAAAAUCUGGGAAACAACGACAUGUCGUACACCGCUUUCGUCAUCGUCGCCGUCCAGCCCAUGAGAAUGAACAUGUCCAUGGGCAUGCCCGUGCCCAUGCCCAUGAUCAUGACCCGUCACGUGCCCAUCACAUGCCUGCUUCCCCUGUGGAUGACUGUGCCGGUGGUGGGCGGCGUGGGCAUGCAUUCCGACAAUGUGCAUCGCGCCGCCGUCCUCUUCCCCAAACACUUUCACGUUCAAAUCUCCGGCCGGAACAAUGCCGGAUUCCAACCCCGAAUCCAUAAUCGACCCGACCCGAUUCGCCUCCUCUUUCGACCGAAUCAUCCCCUGUUUCCGCUCGUAGUACUGAGUUCCGACGAAAUCGACGAGGAGCGUCA